AUUGAACGCUGGCGGAAUGCUUUACACAUGCAAGUCGAACGGCAGCACGGGGGCAACCCUGGUGGCGAGUGGCGAACGGGUGAGUAAUACAUCGGAACGUGCCCAGUCGUGGGGGAUAACGUAGCGAAAGCUACGCUAAUACCACAUACGAUCUGCGGAUGAAAGCAGGGGAUCGCAAGACCUCGCGCGAUUGGAGCGGCCGAUGGCAGAUUAGGUAGUUGGUGAGGUAAAGGCUCACCAAGCCGACGAUCUGUAGCUGGUCUGAGAGGACGACCAGCCACACUGGGACUGGGACACGGCCCAGACUCCUACGGGAGGCAGCAGUGGGGAAUUUUGGACAAUGGGCGCAAGCCUGAUCCAGCCAUUCCGCGUGCAGGAUGAAGGCCCUCGGGUUGUAAACUGCUUUUGUACGGAACGAAACGGCUCUCUCUAAUACAGGGGGCUAAUGACGGUACCGUAAGAAUAAGCACCGGCUAACUACGUGCCAGCCGCCGCCGUAA
RNAcentral lists this ribosomal RNA (500 nucleotides) under uncultured bacterium. Its description in RNAcentral is "partial 16S ribosomal RNA". It matches the Rfam family "Bacterial small subunit ribosomal RNA", at positions 30 to 523 of the family's 1533-position model. The record is from RNAcentral.